UACGGAGGGUGCAAGCGUUAUCCGGAUUCACUGGGUUUAAAGGGUGCGUAGGUGGGCAGUUAAGUCAGUGGUGAAAUCUCCGGGCUCAACCCGGAAACUGCCAUUGAUACUAUCUGUCUUGAAUAUCGUGGAGGUAAGCGGAAUAUGUCAUGUAGCGGUGAAAUGCUUAGAUAUGACAUAGAACACCAAUUGCGAAGGCAGCUUACUACCCGAAUAUUGACACUGAGGCACGAAAGCGUGGGGGAUCAAACAGG
This 254-nucleotide ribosomal RNA is filed under the name uncultured bacterium. RNAcentral's name for it is "partial 16S ribosomal RNA". It matches the Rfam family "Bacterial small subunit ribosomal RNA", at positions 524 to 776 of the family's 1533-position model. The record is from RNAcentral.